CCUACGGGUGGCAGCAGUCGAGAAUCAUUCACAAUGGGGGAAACCCUGAUGGUGCGACGCCGCGUGGGGGAAUGAAGGUCUUCGGAUUGUAAACCCCUGUCAUGUGGGAGCAAAUUAAAAAGAUAGUACCACAAGAGGAAGAGACGGCUAACUCUGUGCCAGCAGCCGCGGUAAUACAGAGGUCUCAAGCGUUGUUCGGAAUCACUGGGCGUAAGGCGUGCGUAGGCUGUUUCGUAAGUCGUGUGUGAAAGGCGCGGGCUCAACCCGCGGACGGCACAUGAUACUGCGAGACUAGAGUAAUGAAGGGGGAACCGGAAUUCGCGGUGUAGCAGUGAAAUGCGUAGAUAUCGAGAGGAACACUCGUGGCGAAGGCGGGUUCCUGGACAUUAACUGACGCUGAGGCACGAAGGCCAGGGGAGCGAAAGGGAUUAGAUACCCGAGUAGUC
This 446-nucleotide ribosomal RNA is filed under the name uncultured bacterium. RNAcentral's name for it is "partial 16S ribosomal RNA". It matches the Rfam family "Bacterial small subunit ribosomal RNA", at positions 338 to 795 of the family's 1533-position model. The record is from RNAcentral.